Molecule: ribosomal RNA, 518 nt
Filed under: uncultured bacterium
Lineage: Bacteria
Description: partial 16S ribosomal RNA
Rfam family: Bacterial small subunit ribosomal RNA
Source: RNAcentral
UAGGGAAUCUUCCACAAUGGACGCAAGUCUGAUGGAGCAACGCCGCGUGAGUGAAGAAGGUUUUCGGACCGUAAAGCUCUGUUGUUGGUGAAGAAGGAUAGAGGUAGUAACUGGCCCUUUUAUUUGACGGUAAUCAACCAGAAAGUCACGGCUAACUACGUGCCAGCAGCCGCGGUAAUACGUAGGUGGCAAGCGUUGUCCGGAUUUAUUGGGCGUAAAGCGAGCGCAGGCGGAAGAAUAAGUCUGAUGUGAAAGCCCUCGGCUUAACCGAGGAAUUGCAUCGGAAACUGUUUUCUUGAGUGCAGAAGAGGAGAGUAGAACUCCAUGUGUAGCGGUGGAAUGCGUAGAUAUAUGGAAGAAUACCAGUGGCGAAGGCGGCUCUCUGGUCUGCAACUGACGCUGAGGCUCGAAAGCAUGGGUAGCGAACAGGAUUAGAUACCCUGGUAGUCCAUGCCGUAAACGAUGAGUGCUAAGUGUUGGGAGGCUUCCGCCUGCUCAGUGCUGCAGCUAACGCAUUA